RNAcentral lists this ribosomal RNA (468 nucleotides) under uncultured bacterium. RNAcentral's name for it is "partial 16S ribosomal RNA". It matches the Rfam family "Bacterial small subunit ribosomal RNA", at positions 28 to 507 of the family's 1533-position model. The record is from RNAcentral.
GACGAACGCUGGCGGCGUGCUUAACACAUGCAAGUCGAACGGAAAGUCCCUGCGUUUGUGUGGUGCUCGAGUGAGUAACGGGUGAGUAACACGUGAUUAACCUUGCGUUGACAUUGGGGAAACUUUAGGAAACUGGUGUUAAUACCGGAUGUGUGGUCCUGCUGCAUAGUUGUGGUUGGAAAGUUUAGUCGGGUAGGGAUGGAGUGUCGGCUUAUCAGUUGGUUGGUGGGGUAGUGGCUUCUCAAGCCUUUGACGGGUAGGCGGCCUGACAGGGUGACUGGCCACACUGGGACGGACAUACGGACCAGCCUGCUGCGGGAGGGAGCCGUGGGGAAUAUAGUACGAUGGGCGGAAGAAUGAUGCAGCCACCCAGAUUGCGGGAUGACGGCCUUCGGGUUGUAUACCGCUGCUGCCUGUGACGAAGCGUGAGUGACGGUAAUUGAUAAAGAAGCACCGGCUAACUACGUG